RNAcentral lists this ribosomal RNA (987 nucleotides) under Plasmodium knowlesi. RNAcentral's name for it is "SSU rRNA". It matches the Rfam family "Eukaryotic small subunit ribosomal RNA", at positions 638 to 1428 of the family's 1831-position model. Lineage: Eukaryota; Apicomplexa; Aconoidasida; Haemosporida; Plasmodiidae. The record is from RNAcentral.
ACAUAACUGAUGCCUCCGCGUAUCGACUUUGUGCGCAUUUUAGCUAUUAUGUGUUCUUUUAAUUAAAAUGAUUCUUUUUAAGAUUCAUCUAUUAAAAAUUUGCUUCGGCAUAAUUUUUUUUGAUGAUCUUGUUACUUUGAGUAAAUUAGAGUGUUCAAAGCAAACAGAUAUAGCAUUUGUGCGUUUGAAUACUACAGCAUGGAAUAGCAAAAUUGAACAAGUCAGAAUUUUUUUGUUCUUUUUUCUUAUUUUGGCUUAGUUACGAUUAAUAGGAGUAGCUUGGGGGCAUUUGUAUUCAGAUGUCAGAGGUGAAAUUCUUAGAUUUUCUGGAGACAAACAACUGCGAAAGCAUUUGCCUAAAAUACUUCCAUUAAUCAAGAACGAAAGUUAAGGGAGUGAAGACGAUCAGAUACCGUCGUAAUCUUAACCAUAAACUAUGCCGACUAGGCUUUGGAUGAAAGAUUUUAAAAUAAGAGUUUUUCUUUUCUCUCCGGAGAUUAGAACUCUUAGAUUGCUUCCUUCAGUGCCUUAUGAGAAAUCAAAGUCUUUGGGUUCUGGGGCGAGUAUUCGCGCAAGCGAGAAAGUUAAAAGAAUUGACGGAAGGGCACCACCAGGCGUGGAGCUUGCGGCUUAAUUUGACUCAACACGGGAAAACUCACUAGUUUAAGACAAGAGUAGGAUUGACAGAUUAAUAGCUCUUUCUUGAUUUCUUGGAUGGUGAUGCAUGGCCGUUUUUAGUUCGUGAAUAUGAUUUGUCUGGUUAAUUCCGAUAACGAACGAGAUCUUAACCUGCUAAUUAGCGGCAAAUACGAUAUAUUCUUAUGUAGAAUUGAAUAUAGUGGAUUUGUUGGAUUUUGAAGAAAAUAUUGGAAUUACGUUAAAUGUGAUUCCUUUCCCUUUUCUACUUAAUUUACAUUUCCAUCUAUUUCUUUUUUGCGUAUGAAUGUAUUUGCUUGAUUGUAAAGCUUCUUAGAGGAACGAUGUGUG